GGUUUGGUUUGCCAACACUUAUAAGCUUUUCAUUUUCUUAUACACUGCCAAUGUGGGACUUGUUCUCACAAGGAAUAUUCUAACAAAAAGCAAAUAUUCAUAAAAAAUUCAAAAUAUGAACAUAACAUAACAAAUGGUCAUUUUUUAGGAAAAAUUAUCACUUUGCUAGGAUGGAACAUAAAGCCUAUGCAUACGCAAAUGAUACAGGUAGCCUGACUAUUGUUUAUUGGCCAAUAUGAAAAAUUUAUGUUGUUCAAAAUCAAACUGGUUUGUAACUCCACCAAACAAGCUAGCAUCUAGGGUUCCUUUUAAAGGAGAAUCUAUUAUGUCCUUAGAAGCCCAUUCUAAGGCAGUUUAAUGGAUACUUCAGCAUUUUUGUUCAAGAGAGAGGCACCCCGAUAACAUAGGAGGGGAGAAUUGAGGCACUUAAAUGAUGAAAAGGGGAGUAUUGGCGAUGUGUGAUUUCAGAGUGGCAGAUUUAGCAACUUUCCAACUACAAAGCUGGCAUAUGCAGAACGUUAACAACAGAUUCUCACAGACUAGGAAGAUGCUAGAUUAGUUGUGGUAGACUAUACUGGAAAGGUAUCCAGAUAGCGGUAGAGGGCCUGGAGGCUUGUAAGGCAUGCCUUUCCCAUGCCUUAUAUCUUGAAACAGGCACUUGCCACUGCAAUGUCACCUUGCCUCAACCCUAUUUGAGGCCUGUGAGGCAUGCCUUUCUCAUGCUCUAGGGUCCAGUGCAACAUUAACAACUGACUGAAGGCUCCUCAUAUUAUCUCACAUAUCAGUAAAUCCGUCAAAGCUACAGCUACAAUAACAGUAUCUGAGAUGUUCUAUGAUUGUUAACAAAGCCUUUCUAAACCCAUUCAGCACAUACAACAGUAAUAUUAAGUUCAUCUUGCCAUAUAUAAAUUAAAAGGGAAAUAAAGUAACAUUUACUGGUUGCAUUAAUCUUAAAAUUUAUACUGCCAUCUCCAAACUUAAAACGAAACAACUUGAGCAUUUACCAUUUGCAAAUUAAAUGAAUGCAGAAUGCAAAACUUCAAAUACUAAUUCAGUAAACAAGACUAGAAAUUGUUUGUAUUAAAGCAACAGUUGCUUCAUUUAAUGCAAUUCAACAAUUGAUGCAUAAAUAACUACAGAAACAUCAAACAGCUCAAUAAGCAAGAUGAAGAGAUUUUUUAAAAGUUUCCAGCAAUGAACAAAGAAUGUUUGCAUUAAGACACAGUUGCUUCAUUCCAUGAUGCAAUUCAACAAUGGGUGCAUGGACUCUGACUUCAGUAUGUGCAAAUGCAAUAGAACUAUUAUCUAAGAUAAAGGAAAUUACUAAGCAGCCAUGUCAACACAUUUGUUCUGGCUACCAGGGUUCACUUACUCCCUAGAUGACAAAAGCACAC
This 1394-nucleotide unclassified non-coding RNA is filed under the name Hevea brasiliensis (rubber tree). Lineage: Eukaryota; Viridiplantae; Streptophyta; Magnoliopsida; Malpighiales; Euphorbiaceae. The record is from RNAcentral.